GUAAUUUUAAAAUGCCAUCUUUUAAGAAUAUUUACCCAUUUUCAGUGCACAGUCUCACAGUAUACGGGAGUCACAACCAGGAUGGAAGGAUGACCGUGGCUUCCUGACAAAUCAAAGCAAGUCAGCUCCUCCCUCAAGAAUUGUCCCAUCACCUUGCUGGUAGGAGACCUUCUACUAUCAUCAUACCUGCAUCAUUGGCUGAGACUUGUCUGAAAUGCCUUCACUGUUUCUGCAGAGGAAACCUGGAAGAAGGAGAUACAGAUCUUAGCUCUUUUACCUUCUGCUUCAGUUUGUGCCUGACCAUCUGUGAGUAAGGUACUCACGGGUCUCCAUGCUUAAUUAACCCUUUCACCCUUCUUCUGUGUCUUUCCAUUAGCUCCAUCUUUGCUAUGUUGCAAUGAAAGGUACCUCUCUGGGGCAUGGAAAGAUAAAUAUCUGAAUAUCUGCCUAUCAAUGCUCAAACCACCAAAGUCAUUCUAGGCUUGAGCAUUUUUCCAGUUUAUGCAUAACAUUAGGGAAUGGUCUUCAUUUUAAGACAAAGCUGGCAAAGGAAGGGCAUGAUCUCAAGAGCUUUUUAAAUACCACUGUUGACUGAAAGCUAUUAGGUCAUGCUACUGAGUGGCUACCACCACCAUUAACAAGAAAUGGAG
This 650-nucleotide long non-coding RNA is filed under the name Struthio camelus australis. Its description in RNAcentral is "lncRNA (ENSSCUG00000005378.1)". Lineage: Eukaryota; Metazoa; Chordata; Aves; Struthioniformes; Struthionidae. The record is from RNAcentral.